Molecule: ribosomal RNA, 2542 nt
Filed under: metagenome
Description: bacterial LSU rRNA
Rfam family: Bacterial large subunit ribosomal RNA
Source: RNAcentral
UUAAGCGACUAAGCGUACACGGUGGAUGCCCUGGCAGUCAGAGGCGAUGAAGGACGUGCUAAUCUGCGAUAAGCGUCGGUGAGGUGAUAUGAACCGUUAUAACCGGCGAUUUCCGAAUGGGGAAACCCAGUGUGUUUCGACACACUAUCAUUAACUGAAUCCAUAGGUUAAUGAGGCGAACCGGGGGAACUGAAACAUCUAAGUACCCCGAGGAAAAGAAAUCAACCGAGAUUCCCCCAGUAGCGGCGAGCGAACGGGGAGGAGCCCAGAGCCUGAAUCAGUGUGUGUGUUAGUGGAAGCGUCUGGAAAGGCGCGCGAUACAGGGUGACAGCCCCGUACACAAAAAUGCACAUAUUGUGAGCUCGAUGAGUAGGGCGGGACACGUGGUAUCCUGUCUGAAUAUGGGGGGACCAUCCUCCAAGGCUAAAUACUCCUGACUGACCGAUAGUGAACCAGUACCGUGAGGGAAAGGCGAAAAGAACCCCGGCGAGGGGAGUGAAAAAGAACCUGAAACCGUGUACGUACAAGCAGUGGGAGCCUCUUUAUGGGGUGACUGCGUACCUUUUGUAUAAUGGGUCAGCGACUUAUAUUCUGUAGCAAGGUUAACCGAAUAGGGGAGCCGAAGGGAAACCGAGUCUUAACUGGGCGUUAAGUUGCAGGGUAUAGACCCGAAACCCGGUGAUCUAGCCAUGGGCAGGUUGAAGGUUGGGUAACACUAACUGGAGGACCGAACCGACUAAUGUUGAAAAAUUAGCGGAUGACUUGUGGCUGGGGGUGAAAGGCCAAUCAAACCGGGAGAUAGCUGGUUCUCCCCGAAAGCUAUUUAGGUAGCGCCUCGUGAAUUCAUCUCCGGGGGUAGAGCACUGUUUCGGCAAGGGGGUCAUCCCGACUUACCAACCCGAUGCAAACUGCGAAUACCGGAGAAUGUUAUCACGGGAGACACACGGCGGGUGCUAACGUCCGUCGUGAAGAGGGAAACAACCCAGACCGCCAGCUAAGGUCCCAAAGUCAUGGUUAAGUGGGAAACGAUGUGGGAAGGCCCAGACAGCCAGGAUGUUGGCUUAGAAGCAGCCAUCAUUUAAAGAAAGCGUAAUAGCUCACUGGUCGAGUCGGCCUGCGCGGAAGAUGUAACGGGGCUAAACCAUGCACCGAAGCUGCGGCAGCGACACUAUGUGUUGUUGGGUAGGGGAGCGUUCUGUAAGCCUGUGAAGGUGGCCUGUGAGGGUUGCUGGAGGUAUCAGAAGUGCGAAUGCUGACAUAAGUAACGAUAAAGCGGGUGAAAAGCCCGCUCGCCGGAAGACCAAGGGUUCCUGUCCAACGUUAAUCGGGGCAGGGUGAGUCGACCCCUAAGGCGAGGCCGAAAGGCGUAGUCGAUGGGAAACAGGUUAAUAUUCCUGUACUUGGUGUUACUGCGAAGGGGGGACGGAGAAGGCUAUGUUGGCCGGGCGACGGUUGUCCCGGUUUAAGCGUGUAGGCUGGUUUUCCAGGCAAAUCCGGAAAACCAAGGCUGAGGCGUGAUGACGAGGCACUACGGUGCUGAAGCGACAAAUGCCCUGCUUCCAGGAAAAGCCUCUAAGCAUCAGGUAACAUCAAAUCGUACCCCAAACCGACACAGGUGGUCAGGUAGAGAAUACCAAGGCGCUUGAGAGAACUCGGGUGAAGGAACUAGGCAAAAUGGUGCCGUAACUUCGGGAGAAGGCACGCUGAUAUGUAGGUGAAGCGACUUGCUCGUGGAGCUGAAAUCAGUCGAAGAUACCAGCUGGCUGCAACUGUUUAUUAAAAACACAGCACUGUGCAAACACGAAAGUGGACGUAUACGGUGUGACGCCUGCCCGGUGCCGGAAGGUUAAUUGAUGGGGUUAGCGGUAACGCGAAGCUCUUGAUCGAAGCCCCGGUAAACGGCGGCCGUAACUAUAACGGUCCUAAGGUAGCGAAAUUCCUUGUCGGGUAAGUUCCGACCUGCACGAAUGGCGUAAUGAUGGCCAGGCUGUCUCCACCCGAGACUCAGUGAAAUUGAACUCGCUGUGAAGAUGCAGUGUACCCGCGGCAAGACGGAAAGACCCCGUGAACCUUUACUAUAGCUUGACACUGAACAUUGAGCCUUGAUGUGUAGGAUAGGUGGGAGGCUUUGAAGUGUGGACGCCAGUCUGCAUGGAGCCGACCUUGAAAUACCACCCUUUAAUGUUUGAUGUUCUAACGUUGGCCCGUAAUCCGGGUUGCGGACAGUGUCUGGUGGGUAGUUUGACUGGGGCGGUCUCCUCCUAAAGAGUAACGGAGGAGCACGAAGGUUGGCUAAUCCUGGUCGGACAUCAGGAGGUUAGUGCAAUGGCAUAAGCCAGCUUGACUGCGAGCGUGACGGCGCGAGCAGGUGCGAAAGCAGGUCAUAGUGAUCCGGUGGUUCUGAAUGGAAGGGCCAUCGCUCAACGGAUAAAAGGUACUCCGGGGAUAACAGGCUGAUACCGCCCAAGAGUUCAUAUCGACGGCGGUGUUUGGCACCUCGAUGUCGGCUCAUCACAUCCUGGGGCUGAAGUAGGUCCCAAGG